RNAcentral lists this ribosomal RNA (253 nucleotides) under uncultured bacterium. RNAcentral describes it as "partial 16S ribosomal RNA". It matches the Rfam family "Bacterial small subunit ribosomal RNA", at positions 524 to 776 of the family's 1533-position model. The record is from RNAcentral.
UACGUAGGGUCCGAGCGUUAAUCGGAAUUACUGGGCGUAAAGCGUGCGCAGGCGGUUUUGUAAGCCAGAUGUGAAAGCCCCGGGCUCAACCUGGGAACUGCAUUUGGGACUGCAAGGCUGGAGUACGGCAGAGGGAGGUGGAAUUCCACGUGUAGCAGUGAAAUGCGUAGAUAUUGGGAGGAACACCGGUGGCGAAGGCGGCCCCCUGGACCGGUACUGACGCUGAGGCGCGAAGGCGUGGGGAGCAAACGGG